CUUUCAAUUUGGAGUAAAGAACUUCAACUCAUCCGUCAAUGCCUCUUUCUCUCUCUUUAAAUAAAUCAUUGAUUGGUGAAAUUUGACUCUCCUUCAAGGUUUUAAAUCCAAAAUCCCUAUAAAUUCUAGACGAAUUAAUUGUGGAAUCCAGGGUUUUUCUAAUUUCCGACCACUUUCAAACCCUAAGUUUUGUAGUAACUGCAGCUCUGAAUCGCGGUUCCUUUUCUGUGUUGAAGUUGAACUCUUUCUGUUACUGGUGAUGGCGGCGGAGGAGAUUGAGUACGAGAGCGAUCCGGAGGAGGCGAAGUUGUCGUUGAAGAUGCGGAGGAGGGAGGCGAGCGACGAUGAAGAAGAGGCGGAGCAAGGGGGAAACCCCAGGGGGAAACCUCCGCGGAGAAUUGAGUCGGAUGGGGAAUCUGAAGGUGCGGCGGCGGAGUAUGAGGAGGAGUUGGACGAAGAAGAGGAAGAUUAUGAUUUGGAUGAGGAGUAUGUGGAGGAGCAGAUAGAGGAGGUAACUGUUGAGUAUGGAGAAGGCGGUGGUGGGAGAGGUAAAGAUGGUGUGGAGGUGGUGGCGGUGGAAAGGGAGGAGAGUGAGAAGGAAGGAACCUUUGAGGGGAAGGUAUCGGAGGAGGAGAAGCAGGGAGGCAAUGACGAUGCAGGUGAAAACAUUGACGGGGAUAAGAAUGUUGCUGAUGGGGAGCAUGAGGAAGAGAGGAAGGAAAUAGAGCCCUUCUCUGUGCCUACUGCGGGGGCAUUUUACAUGCACGAUGACAGAUUUCGAGACAAUGCUGGCGGGCGACAUAGGCGAACCCUUGGAGGAAGAAAAUUGUGGGAGUCUAAAGAUGACAGAAAAUGGGGGCAUGAUAAGUUUGAGGAGCUGACUAUGCAGGAAAGGCACCAUGAAGAGGGUAGAAGGGGUGCUAGGGGACGCUAUAGGGGUCGCAAUAGAAAUAGAGCCUCAGACCCUGGAUUUGUACAAGUGAACAAACCCAAAGAAUACACCAAUAACGGCACACAGAAUAAUAACAAUCAGGGCAGCGCUCCCAAGGGAGUUAGGGGACGAGGACCUCGAAGAUAUCAACCGACCUUUAAGAACAACAAUGACGCUCCAGCUACACAGAACAAAUACCUUGCAAAGUCGGUUGAAAAGCAUUCCCAUGUCAGUUCUCGAAGAAGUAGCGAGCCUGUAUCUAAUGCAAAACCUGAUGUAGUUCCCAGAAAACAAGUAGCCUCCAAUUUGAACAUUGCUUCUCCUCCAUUUUAUCCCACUGGUUCUUCCACAAAAGAUAACACUGCAGCCCCUAAGAGGGAUGUCCAAGCUGGCACAAUUAAUCGAAACGGCCAACAAUCAGUGGUGGGUGAGAAUUUUACUAUGUCACAAUCUACUGCUACAAUGCGAGGAAAAAAUAUAGUGGAUUCCAUUGGUCUGGACAAUCUCUCCAUUGGUGAUUCAUCUUCUUCAGUGGCCGGGAAGUCUUCAAAUACAACGCAAAUGCCACUACCUGGAUCUUCAUCUUUCAACCCAGGUCAGCCUCAGUUGAGGGGCCAAGGAAGAGGACCAGCUUCCUUCACACAGAUGGCUUACCAACCAGCUGUCUCUAAUAACCAACUCAACAGGGUUCCUCCGUCAAACCAGAUACAAAAUGUUCAGAGGAAUCCUGGUCAAAGUCGUGCUCAGUCUUCUUUGCAAGGUUCUGUUCAGCAGUUCACACAACGUGUGCCCAGUGGUUCGCAAGCUUUCUCUCCACCUAAAGCUGCUGGUGCUGUAAAUACAUCUGAAUCUGGGGAGGUGGAAUCUGCAUCAGAAUUGAAUCAGGCUAAGACAGCAUUGGUUGCUAAAGGAAAAGGGAAUGCACCAGGCAGCGCAAAGGGCUCGUUCCUAUAUGGUGGAGCUCAGGUCAUGGGAUCCUCUGGCAAUAUGGGCAGUGGCCCCGGUGAUCAAAACUUCCCAGCUUUCUUACCAGUCAUGCAAUUUGGAGGCCAGCACCCUGGGGGAAUGGGUGUUCCUGCCGUUGGCAUGGCUUUUCCUGGAUAUGUUGCUCAACCACAACUUGGUUUAGGGAGUUCCGAAAUGACUUGGCUUCCUGUCUUAGCGGGUGCAGCUGGGGCACUGGGUGCUGCUGGAGCCUUGGGUGCAACAUAUUGUCCACCAUAUAUAACUGUUGAUGGUUCAUAUAAUGCUCGGCCUUCUGGACAGGCGUCUUCUACAACAGCUGCUUCAAGCAAAGAGAAUAACAAUGCAACAAAAGUAGGUAAUGAUUGGAAACCUUCACAGAGGCCUGAGCUUGCAAACGAUGAUUUUGGGCAGAGGCAAAAGAACCCUCGCAGAUAUACAGAGAUGAAAUUUGACCAGUGAAGUAACUGGAUGGCUUGGUUGCCUUGGAAUAAGCAUAUAAUCAAAAAUCUUUAGAGUCCUUCCAUCUGUUGGGUGUAGCAGAGUUUUUGGGUGUGCUUUUGGUGCAGGCCUUCUUCAAAGGCCCAUUGUGUUCUCCAGUCGUUGAUCUGGAGUACUUUGGGCUACUGCAUUUUCUCAGAUAUUUUAGGUACUUGAAAACGCCUGAUCAUGCUGGCUUAAUUUGAGGAAGAACACUGCAGCUUGACAGGUGGCAGUUCCUUGUUCUUUUAUGCUGUUAUUGUGCAUUAGUCUUUACCUGAACCAUGCAAGAAGAUUGUUAUGGAGCUUUCAGAAAAAAGAAAAAGAAAAAAGAAUAACAAUUAUUGUUGUGCAGCUGCUGCUUGCUUUAUCAAACUUCAUUUCGCCUGUUAUUUUAUGUGGAUGUCAUUAUCUAUCGGAUUGAAGGUUUCGUCGUCUUGCAGUUUCUGGUAUUUCGGUUUGAGUUGAACUCAAAAGUUUUUAUUCUUCACCUAUUAACCUCUGUUCGUCUUUGUGUUAAUAUAUAUAUACUUGGGUUGAGAAUAAACUGCUGUCCUGGUAUUGGAUUCUUUAAACUUUUCAUCAUGAUGUUACUUUGCUAUCAGAAAUUAACUGAAGAAGAUUAUAUAUUUCUUGCUGUUAUCGAGAUUAUCAGAAUGAAACGUGAAUAUUUGAGAUU
RNA transcript from Salvia miltiorrhiza (redroot sage), 3053 nucleotides. It is a transcript of the gene named protein MLN51 homolog, with no coding region annotated. NCBI's taxonomy places the organism in Eukaryota, Viridiplantae, Streptophyta, Magnoliopsida, Lamiales, Lamiaceae. The record is from RefSeq and is a predicted model, not a curated record. The transcript has 11 exons.